Populus trichocarpa (black cottonwood) is the source of this 156-nucleotide non-coding RNA. The record is from Rfam. NCBI's taxonomy places the organism in Eukaryota, Viridiplantae, Streptophyta, Magnoliopsida, Malpighiales, Salicaceae.
UCUAGAACUCGAGGUAUGGGUUGAACGUCAUACAAUGUCUGGGCUGCAGGACAGAUUCAGACUUCUCUUUUAUUGCUAAGAUUUGAACUUGAAAACGGUAUUUUUAAAUCUUUAACUCUUCAUGAAUGUUUUAUGCAUAUGUAUUAGCUUUCCAUC